AGCGAACGCUGGCGGCAGGCUUAACACAUGCAAGUCGAGCGGGCACUUCGGUGUCAGCGGCAGACGGGUGAGUAACACGUGGGAACGUACCCUUUGGUUCGGAAUAACGCUGGGAAACUAGCGCUAAUACCGGAUACGCCCUUUUGGGGAGAGGCUUGCUGCCGAAGGAUCGGCCCGCGUCUGAUUAGCUAGUUGGUGGGGUAAUGGCCUACCAAGGCGACGAUCAGUAGCUGGUCUGAGAGGAUGAUCAGCCACACUGGGACUGAGACACGGCCCAGACUCCUACGGGAGGCAGCAGUGGGGAAUAUUGGACAAAGGGCGCAAGCCUGAUCCAGCCAUGCCGCGUGAGUGAUGAAGGCCUUAGGGUUGUAAAGCUCUUUUGUCCGGGACGAUAAUGACGGUACCGGAAGAAUAAGCCCCGGCUAACUUCGUG
This 433-nucleotide ribosomal RNA is filed under the name uncultured bacterium. Its description in RNAcentral is "partial 16S ribosomal RNA". It matches the Rfam family "Bacterial small subunit ribosomal RNA", at positions 29 to 507 of the family's 1533-position model. The record is from RNAcentral.